UACGUAGGUGGCAAGCGUUGUCCGGAUUUACUGGGCGUAAAGGGCGCGUAGGCGGCCCUCUAAGUCGAACGUGAAAUCCCUGGGCUCAACCUGGGAACUGCAUCCGAAACUGCCUUGCUAGAGUAUGGGAGAGGGAAGUGGAAUUUCCGGUGUAGCGGUGAAAUGCGUAGAUAUCGGAAGGAACAUCAGUGGCGAAGGCGACUUCCUGGACCAAUACUGACGCUCAGGUGCGAAAGCGUGGGGAGCAAACAGG
Molecule: ribosomal RNA, 253 nt
Filed under: uncultured bacterium
Lineage: Bacteria
Description: partial 16S ribosomal RNA
Rfam family: Bacterial small subunit ribosomal RNA
Source: RNAcentral